RNAcentral lists this ribosomal RNA (460 nucleotides) under uncultured bacterium. Its description in RNAcentral is "partial 16S ribosomal RNA". It matches the Rfam family "Bacterial small subunit ribosomal RNA", at positions 338 to 795 of the family's 1533-position model. The record is from RNAcentral.
CCUACGGGUGGCAGCAGUGUGGAAUAUUGGUCAAUGGGCGCGAGCCUGCACCAGCCACGUAGCGUGAAGGAUGACUGCCCUACGGGUUGUAAACUUCUUUUAUAAAGGAAUCAAGUGAGGCACGUGUGCCUUUUUGUAUGUACUUUAUGAAUAAUGAUCGGCUAACUCCGUUCCAGCAGCCGCGGUACUACGGAGGAUCCGAGCGUUCUCCGGAUUUAUUUGGUUUAACGGGAGCGUAGAUGGGUUGUUAAGUCAGUUUUGAAAGUUUGCGGCUCAACCGUAAAAUUGCAAUUGAUACUGGCAGCCUUGAGUACAGUUGAGGUAGGCGGAAUGCGUGGUGUAGCGGUGAAAUGCUUAGAUAUCACGAAGAACUCCGAUGGCGAAGGCAGCCUACUAAACUGCCACUGACAUUGAUGCUCGAAAGUGUGGGUAUCAAACAGGAUUAGAUACCCGGGUAGUC